This 321-nucleotide unclassified non-coding RNA is filed under the name Bombus terrestris (buff-tailed bumblebee). RNAcentral's name for it is "misc RNA ENSBTSG00005026320.1". Lineage: Eukaryota; Metazoa; Arthropoda; Insecta; Hymenoptera; Apidae. The record is from RNAcentral.
UAAUUUGUUACACAGAAAUAGAUUACGUUGGCAUACUCCGGUGGAGCACUGAGGGUCGUCAACGAAAUUGGACAACAUUUGGUAAUUUUGUUUGUUGUAUUCGAUGUGAACAUGAUUACUUCGAACAAUUCCCGUAAAUGCAAGCAAACAAACGUGUGCUGAAUCUACUAGCGUUUUGGAAUAUCCUGUAUAAUUACACGUUUAUUCACAGCUGAUUUAUUAAUUAACUUAUUGCAGAUUUUCAUGCACUUAUGAGAAAUCUAAAGAUGCAGUAAUGCAAGAAAUAUCUAAUGUAGUCGUUAUAAUGAUUCGUAAGAUUUU